UGAUGUUUUGUUGUUGUAACAGACGACUGCAUUGAAAUACAACAAGCUGAAUCAUCACACUUGCGGCUUGACCUAUUGUUGUAGAAACUCUAAGUUCUCAAUAGGAACGCAUUAAAUUUGAACGAGCUUACCAUAAACAAAGUUUUUUAAACUUAGUGAUUUUCGACCUCAAAUCAAGUAGGACUACCCGCUGAACUUAA
This 200-nucleotide unclassified non-coding RNA is filed under the name soil metagenome. Its description in RNAcentral is "partial contains internal transcribed spacer 2 and large subunit ribosomal RNA". The record is from RNAcentral.